GACUGUCCCCAGGCCCUGUAAUGACCCACACUGAGGAUUGAACCCAGAGCUUCUCACAUGCCAGGUAACCACACUAUAAGACUCUCAGCCCCACCGUCUGCCACUUCAAUUACCUGAAAGGCAAGGACAACACUUAACACUGAGCACCACUCCUCUGCUACUACUUGCAAGCACUAAGCUGACCUGCCCUCAGAAAAAAUGGGGGAAAACCCGUUUCUCAUUGUGAUCUGUAAUGGCUGCCUAGAAGAGCAAGCCACUGUGAUGUCAGUUUCAAUACUUUCCCAAGACAAAGAUGGUGAAAGAAUGGAAUACAAACAUGGAGAGAGACUUAGGUGGAGUUUCCACAGGCAGACAAUAU
Molecule: long non-coding RNA, 358 nt
Filed under: Mus caroli (Ryukyu mouse)
Lineage: Eukaryota; Metazoa; Chordata; Mammalia; Rodentia; Muridae
Description: lncRNA (MGP_CAROLIEiJ_G0003830.1)
Source: RNAcentral